RNAcentral lists this ribosomal RNA (375 nucleotides) under uncultured bacterium. RNAcentral's name for it is "bacterial SSU rRNA". It matches the Rfam family "Bacterial small subunit ribosomal RNA", at positions 524 to 898 of the family's 1533-position model. The record is from RNAcentral.
UACGAAGGGGGCUAGCGUUGCUCGGAAUGACUGGGCGUAAAGGGCGCGUAGGCGGAUUGAUUAGUUAGGCGUGAAAUUCCUGGGCUUAACCUGGGGGCUGCGCUUAAUACAGUCAGUCUUGAGUGUGGAAGAGGGUCGUGGAAUUCCCAGUGUAGAGGUGAAAUUCGUAGAUAUUGGGAAGAACACCGGUGGCGAAGGCGGCGACCUGGUCCAUUACUGACGCUGAGGCGCGAAAGCGUGGGGAGCAAACAGGAUUAGAUACCCUGGUAGUCCACGCCGUAAACGAUGUGUGCUGGAUGUUGGGUGGCCUAGCCACUCAGUGUCGUAGCUAACGCGAUAAGCACACCGCCUGGGGAGUACGGCCGCAAGGUUGAA